AAAGAGAGUCAAAGAA
RNAcentral lists this small RNA (16 nucleotides) under Arabidopsis thaliana (thale cress). RNAcentral's name for it is "ATSL135000". Lineage: Eukaryota; Viridiplantae; Streptophyta; Magnoliopsida; Brassicales; Brassicaceae. The record is from RNAcentral.